Limulus polyphemus (Atlantic horseshoe crab) is the source of this 562-nucleotide long non-coding RNA. RefSeq lists it as uncharacterized. NCBI's taxonomy places the organism in Eukaryota, Metazoa, Arthropoda, Merostomata, Xiphosura, Limulidae. The record is from RefSeq and is a predicted model, not a curated record. The transcript is spliced from 3 exons.
GGAGGGAGCAAUCCGAACAUUGGUCCGUCUAUGUUACUGCCCAGGAAGCCCUAAAGGUACAUGCCAGGACCGAUGUCAAAUAAUGGUUUAGAUUACAGAUACACUGACAAAAAUGAAACGUAUACGACGCUAUAUAAAAGCUACUAGAUGGCAGCACAUGAAAUAUAAUUCAAUUUCUGCUCCACGUCAACAUCUCGAAGCACGAAAAAACGAUGUUUGAAUUUCAAAAAGGAAGUUUGUGAUAGUGAAUAUUUUUUCAGAAAUGUUAUAUCAAUACAAGAAAUCAUUAUGCACUUUAUAUACAUCACGUGAUUUCUGCACACAUACGCAGUCGCCAUGGUAAUAUCAAACACUGGAAACGACUAGUAACAACCGGAUUUUAAGCAUCGUGUUCAAUAAAUUAUUCUUAAAAUGGUUCUUGAUAUGCCAACAGAUAAAGGUUUCCGAAUAUAUCUACAUAAUAACCGGGCUAUAACCAUUUGAAGAUAAACAGUUUUGUUAAAUACUUCUCGAGAGUAAACCCUUUUUUACGGAAGUAAACUAAUAAAAACGUUCUCUUAUA